Molecule: ribosomal RNA, 415 nt
Filed under: Salmonella enterica subsp. enterica serovar Senftenberg
Lineage: Bacteria; Pseudomonadati; Pseudomonadota; Gammaproteobacteria; Enterobacterales; Enterobacteriaceae
Also listed under: 3 other names
Description: partial 23S ribosomal RNA
Rfam family: Bacterial large subunit ribosomal RNA
Source: RNAcentral
AGACCCGAAACCCGGUGAUCUAGCCAUGGGCAGGUUGAAGGUUGGGUAACACUAACUGGAGGACCGAACCGACUAAUGUUGAAAAAUUAGCGGAUGACCUGUGGCUGGGGGUGAAAGGCCAAUCAAACCGGGAGAUAGCUGGUUCUCCCCGAAAGCUAUUUAGGUAGCGCCUCGUGAAUUCAUCUCCGGGGGUAGAGCACUGUUUCGGCUAGGGGGCCAUCCCGGCUUACCAACCCGAUGCAAACUGCGAAUACCGGAGAAUGUUAUCACGGGAGACACACGGCGGGUGCUAACGUCCGUCGUGAAGAGGGAAACAACCCAGACCGCCAGCUAAGGUCCCAAAGUCAUGGUUAAGUGGGAAACGAUGUGGGAAGGCCCAGACAGCCAGGAUGUUGGCUUAGAAGCAGCCAUCAUU